UCAACCGAGAUUCCGCAAGUAGUGGCGAGCGAACGCGGAAAAGCCUGUAUAUGAUAAUGGUUAAGAUAGAAGAAGGGAUUGGAAACUUCCGCCAUAGUGGGUGAUAGCCCCGUAUUUGAAAUCUUAACCAUGGUACUAAGUAUACGAGAAGUAGGGCGGGACACGUGAAAUCCUGUCUGAAUAUGGGGGGACCAUCCUCUAAGGCUAAAUACUCAUCAUCGACCGAUAGUGAACCAGUACCGUGAGGGAAAGGCGAAAAGAACCCCGGAAGGGGAGUGAAAUAGAACCUGAAACCUGAUGCAUACAUACAGUGGGAGCAUCUUUGUGGUGUGACUGCGUACCUUUUGUAUAAUGGGUCAACGACUUACAUUCAGUAGCGAGCUUAACCGAGUAGGGGAGGCGUAGGGAAACCGAGUCUUAAUAGGGCGACUAGUUGCUGGGUGUAGACCCGAAACCGAGUGAUCUAUCCAUGGCCAGGAUGAAGGUGCGGUAAAACGCAUUGGAGGUCCGAACCCACGCAUGUUGCAAAAUGCGGGGAUGAGCUGUGGAUAGGGGUGAAAGGCUAAACAAACUCGGAGAUAGCUGGUUCUCCCCGAAAACUAUUUAGGUAGUGCCUCGAGUAUGAGACUGAUGGGGGUAAAGCACUGUUAUGGCUAGGGGGUUAUUGCAACUUACCAACCCAUGGCAAACUAAGAAUACCAUCAAGUUGCUCCUCGGGAGACAGACAUCGGGUGCUAACGUCCGGUGUCAAGAGGGAAACAACCCAGACCGCCAGCUAAGGUCCCAAAUGAUAGAUUAAGUGGUAAACGAAGUGGGAAGGCACAGACAGCCAGGAUGUUGGCUUAGAAGCAGCCAUCAUUUAAAGAAAGCGUAAUAGCUCACUGGUCGAGUCUUCCUGCGCGGAAGAUGUAACGGGGCUCAAAUCUAUAACCGAAGCUGCGGAUAUACUUUUGUAUAUGGUAGGGGAGCGUUCUGUAAGCCUGUGAAGGUGACUUGUAAAGGUUGCUGGAGGUAUCAGAAGUGCGAAUGUUGACAUGAGUAGCGAUAAAGUGGGUGAAAAGCCCGCUCGCCGAAAGCCCAAGGUUUCCUACGCAACGUUCAUCGGCGUAGGGUGAGUCGGCCCCUAAGGCGAGGCAGAAAUGCGUAGUCGAUGGGAAACAGGUUAAUAUUCCUGUACUUUGAUUCAAUGCGAUGUGGGGACGGAGAAGGUUAGGUUAGCAAACUGUUGGAAUAGUUUGUUUAAGCUAGUAGGUGGAAAGAGUAGGCAAAUCCGCUCUUUCUUAACACCGAGACGUGAUGACGAGUGUCUACGGACAUGAAGUGACCAAUACCACGCUUCCAGGAAAAGCCACUAAGCUUCAGUUGAAUCAGAACCGUACCGCAAACCGACACAGGUGGGCAGGAUGAGAAUUCUAAGGCGCUUGAGAGAACUCGGGAGAAGGAACUCGGCAAAUUGAUACCGUAACUUCGGGAGAAGGUAUGCCCUCUAAUGUUAAGGACUUGCUCCGUAAGCAUCUGAGGGUCGCAGAGAAUCGGUGGCUGCGACUGUUUAUUAAAAACACAGCACUCUGCUAACACGAAAGUGGACGUAUAGGGUGUGACGCCUGCCCGGUGCUGGAAGGUUAAUUGAAGAUGUGCAAGCAUCGGAUCGAAGCCCCAGUAAACGGCGGCCGUAACUAUAACGGUCCUAAGGUAGCGAAAUUCCUUGUCGGGUAAGUUCCGACCCGCACGAAUGGCGUAACGAUGGCCACACUGUCUCCUCCCGAGACUCAGCGAAGUUGAAAUGGUUGUGAAGAUGCAAUCUCCCCGCUGCUAGACGGAAAGACCCCGUGAACCUUUACUGUAGCUUUGCAUUGGACUUUGAAGUCACUUGUGUAGGAUAGGUGGGAGGCUUUGAAGCAGAGACGCCAGUCUCUGUGGAGCCGUCCUUGAAAUACCACCCUGGUGACUUUGAGGUUCUAACCCAGACCCGUUAUCCGGGUCGGGGACCGUGCAUGGUAGGCAGUUUGACUGGGGCGGUCUCCUCCCAAAGAGUAACGGAGGAGUUCGAAGGUUACCUAGGUCCGGUCGGAAAUCGGACUGAUAGUGCAAUGGCAAAAGGUAGCUUAACUGCGAGACCGACAAGUCGAGCAGGUGCGAAAGCAGGACAUAGUGAUCCGGUGGUUCUGAAUGGAAGGGCCAUCGCUCAACGGAUAAAAGGUACUCCGGGGAUAACAGGCUGAUUCCGCCCAAGAGUCCAUAUCGACGGCGGAGUUUGGCACCUCGAUGUCGGCUCAUCACAUCCUGGGGCUGUAGUCGGUCCCAAGGGUAUGGCUGUUCGCCAUUUAAAGUGGUACGUGAGCUGGGUUUAAAACGUCGUGAGACAGUUUGGUCCCUAUCUGCAGUGGGCGUUGGAAGUUUGACGGGGGCUGCUCCUAGUACGAGAGGACCGGAGUGGACGAACCUCUGGUGUACCGGUUGUUUCGCCAGAAGCAUAGCCGGGUAGCUAAGUUCGGAAGAGAUAAGCGCUGAAAGCAUCUAAGCGCGAAACUCGCCCAAAGAUGAGACUUCCCUUGUGGUUUAACCAUACUAAAGAGUCGUUCGAGACCAGGACGUUGAUAGGUUGGGUGUGGAAGAGUGGUAACACUUGAAGCUAACCAAUACUAAUUGCUCGUGAGGCUUGACUCU
RNAcentral lists this ribosomal RNA (2667 nucleotides) under Kingella kingae. Its description in RNAcentral is "partial 23S ribosomal RNA". It matches the Rfam family "Bacterial large subunit ribosomal RNA". Lineage: Bacteria; Pseudomonadati; Pseudomonadota; Betaproteobacteria; Neisseriales; Neisseriaceae. The record is from RNAcentral.